GUUUUAAUAGUUUAUAAUAAAACAUUGGUUUUGUAAACCAAAAAUAAGAUUAAUUUUAAAACU
RNAcentral lists this transfer RNA (63 nucleotides) under Paramastax nigra. RNAcentral describes it as "tRNA-Thr". It matches the Rfam family "tRNA". Rfam says of the family: Transfer RNA (tRNA) molecules are approximately 80 nucleotides in length. Lineage: Eukaryota; Metazoa; Arthropoda; Insecta; Orthoptera; Eumastacidae. The record is from RNAcentral.